GGGAGGGACUGUGGCUCAGUGGUAAAGCAUCUGCUUGGCAUGUCAGUUGACCCUGGUUCAAUACCACACUUCUCCCG
RNAcentral lists this transfer RNA (77 nucleotides) under Sphaerodactylus townsendi. RNAcentral's name for it is "tRNA-Ala". The record is from RNAcentral. Lineage: Eukaryota; Metazoa; Chordata; Lepidosauria; Squamata; Sphaerodactylidae.